UUAAGUAAAUAAAGCUGAUAACAUUUUUUGUUGAACGUCCAGUCCUCUCUGGCUGAAACUGAGGCGUAAGAUAAGAUUACUCUAGAGUCCAACGUUCAGCUGGAGUACAAGAACUCCAUUCUGUUGGAGCAGGGAAAAACACUGCACAACUCAAUGGAGAGGUUGAAGGAACAGCUGUGUGAGACUCACAGGAAAGUACUCGGAAGGACGAGAGCGUCUUCCUGAAGGACCAGUAUGAAGAUGUUAAGCCUAAUGAUGGCUCGCUUCACUGGCAGUGACAGCUCUUUGGACUUCAUAUUGAGAGUCAACAAGAACAGAUUCCAAAUGCAAACGCCACACCUGAAAUCAACUCUACACUUUUAUCUGCGUACUUAUCACAGAACCUCACAGUCGAGUCAGAACUCCACAUCCAGAACCCAGCGUAUAGAGGCUGAGUGAAUGUGGUGUGGACUCUGUGGAGCAGCUUCAUCGUGUCAGAGACACUGUAGAAGGACAGAGUUCCUGCA
Ictalurus punctatus (channel catfish) is the source of this 506-nucleotide long non-coding RNA. RefSeq lists it as uncharacterized. NCBI's taxonomy places the organism in Eukaryota, Metazoa, Chordata, Actinopteri, Siluriformes, Ictaluridae. The record is from RefSeq and is a predicted model, not a curated record. The transcript is spliced from 4 exons.